Small nucleolar RNA from Tripterygium wilfordii, 91 nucleotides. RefSeq annotates it as small nucleolar RNA Z162. Lineage: Eukaryota; Viridiplantae; Streptophyta; Magnoliopsida; Celastrales; Celastraceae. The transcript has a single exon. The record is from RefSeq and is a predicted model, not a curated record.
UUUGGCACAAUGAGGUUAUAUAAGCGGAUGAGAUCGAAAGAUCUUUGAUUUCUCUUGCAAAAUUCAAAGUCCUUUUCAUUCUGAGUGCCAU